RNAcentral lists this non-coding RNA (115 nucleotides) under human gut metagenome. RNAcentral describes it as "FMN riboswitch (RFN element)". It matches the Rfam family "FMN riboswitch aptamer (RFN element)". Rfam says of the family: The RFN element is a highly conserved domain that is found frequently in the 5'-untranslated regions of prokaryotic mRNAs that encode for flavin mononucleotide (FMN) biosynthesis and transport proteins. This element is a metabolite-dependent riboswitch that directly binds FMN in the absence of proteins. The record is from RNAcentral.
UUUCUUCAGGGCAAGGUGCAACUCCUUACCGGCGGUAAAGUCCGCGAGCGGGUCCGAUGGACCGGCAGACAUGGUGCGAUUCCAUGACCGACAGUAAAGUCUGGAUGAGAGAAGA